Molecule: ribosomal RNA, 1004 nt
Filed under: uncultured organism
Description: bacterial SSU rRNA
Rfam family: Bacterial small subunit ribosomal RNA
Source: RNAcentral
CAUGAAUAAGCAUCGGCUAACUCCGUGCCAGCAGCCGCGGUAAUACGCGACGGGAAUGCCAGUGCGUUAUCCUGGAUUUAUUAGCUUUAAAGGGUGUUCUAAGACUGCCACAUAAGUCAGGGGUGAAAGUCGGUUGCUCAACAAUCGAAUUGCCUUUGAAAACUGUUGUGGCUCGAGUAUAGAUGAGGUAGGCGGAAUGUGUAGUGUAGCGGUGAAAUGCAUAGAUAUUACACAGAACCCCAAUUGCGAAGGCAGCUUACCAAACUAUUACUGACGCUGAAGCACGAAAGCGUGGGUAGCGAACAGGAUUAGAUACCCUGGUAGUCCACGCCGUAAACUAUGCUCACUCGCUGUUGGCAAUAGAUCGUCAGCGGCUAAGGGAAACCGAUAAGUGAGCCACCUGGGGAGUACGAUCGCAAGAUUGAAACUCAAAGGAAUUGACGGGGGCCCGCACAAGCGGAGGAACAUGUGGUUUAAUUCGAUGAUACGCGAGGAACCUUACCUGGGCUUAAAUGUAGAGUGCAUAAAGUGGAAACAUUUUUUUCCUUCGGGACUCUUUACAAGGUGCUGCAUGGUUGUCGUCAGCUCGUGCCGUGAGGUGUCGGGUUAAGUCCCAUAACGAGCGCAACCCCUAUCGUUAGUUACCAGCACGUAGUGGUGGGGACUCUAGCGAAACUGCCGGUGUAAACCGUGAGGAAGGUGGGGAUGACGUCAAAUCAGCACGGCCCUUAUGUCCAGGGCUACACACGUGUUACAAUGGUCGGUACAGUGGGCAGCCACAUAGCAAUAUGGAGCUAAUCUCAAAAGCCGAUCUCAGUUCGGAUUGGAGUCUGCAACCCGACUCCAUGAAGGUGGAUUCGCUAGUAAUCGCGCAUCAGCCAUGGCGCGGUGAUACGUUCCCGGGCCUUGUACACACCGCCCGUCAAGCCAUGGAAGUUUGGGGUGCCUGAAGUUCGUAACCGCAAGGAGCGACCUAGGGUAAACAAAUGACUGGGGCUAAGUCG